RNAcentral lists this long non-coding RNA (666 nucleotides) under Solanum tuberosum (potato). RNAcentral describes it as "long non-coding RNA (STUB_LNC010171)". Lineage: Eukaryota; Viridiplantae; Streptophyta; Magnoliopsida; Solanales; Solanaceae. The record is from RNAcentral.
AUACUAAUCUCUCAAUUCUUGCUAUUUUUUUAAUAGAUAAACAAGUAGCUAUGUAACUAUAUUUCAGAUUUAAAGACAACUAGGAGUCACAAAGCUUCCUGUAUUUGAUUCAAUUUCUGUUUUGUCCAGUGCUACUUCUGGAACAAAAAGGAGUGGUGGUUUGUGGUGUUUCACCUCAACUUCAGGCCAUUGUUGGUCAACCAGCAAUGCCCAAUUCGAGUUGUAUCACAUUGUGAAACAGCUGUGGAUGUACGGUAACAAGCAAGGUCCCUAGGUUGCAUAAAGCUGAACUCCUACGAUAAGCAGACAUAAAACAUAUCAAGAGGACAUUAAUGCGGCAAAUCAGUUCCUUUUAAUAUUAAUUACUCUAGAAUGCCCAACAGCCCAAGUAUAUGUAAAUGGUACAACAAUUGAAUCAAAUUACAGGAUGGUACCUUGACAAGGCAUUAAUUGAAUUGAUGAAAUAAAAUAGAACAACUCACCACAGCAUCAUAUCAGUCGACAACUUAAAAACAAUUUGAAUUCGGCUCUUCUUCUUCAUCAAGCAAGGUCGGACAUGAAACUCUAUCAAUGUUUGAAGUCAAACCUAAGAAGAAAAGUAUGUGUCUAAAGUACUAAGAACUGAAAAAUUAUUGAAUGACAAGUCAUUGAAAAGUUAGUUACCUU